AUGUUAUCAUAAUGACUAAGACUAGAGUACAACUAAGCUGUCAUAAGCAGAGAUGUACUAAGAUCCCCUUAAAUGAUCUUAGCACUUCAGAUUAAUUUAACCCCACGAAAGCUAAGGCACAAACUGGGAUUAGAUACCCCACUAUGCUUAGCCCUAAAUCUUGAUGCUACCCGCACUAAGCAUCCGCCUGGGAACUACGAGCACAAACGCUUAAAACUCUAAGGACUUGGCGGUGCCCUAAACCCACCUAGAGGAGCCUGUUCUAUAAUCGAUAACCCACGUUACACCCAACCGCCUCUUGCCAAAGCAGCCUAUAUACCGCCGUCGCCAGCUCACCUUCCCUGAGAGCCCAAUAGUGAGCACAAUAGCCGAACCCGCUAGUAAGACAGGUCGAGGUAUAGCUAUGGGGCGGAAGAAAUGGGCUACAUUUUCUAAAAUAGAAUACCCACGGAAGGGGGUGUGAAACCAUCUCUCGAAGGCGGAUUUAGUAGUAAAGAGGGAUAAUAUAAGCUCCCUUUAAAUCGGCCCUGGGCACGUACAUACCGCCCG
Molecule: ribosomal RNA, 549 nt
Filed under: Tringa ochropus (green sandpiper)
Lineage: Eukaryota; Metazoa; Chordata; Aves; Charadriiformes; Scolopacidae
Description: partial 12S ribosomal RNA
Rfam family: Bacterial small subunit ribosomal RNA
Source: RNAcentral